CCUGAUGGAGCGACGCCGCGUGGGGGAUGAAUGGCUUCGGCCCGUAAACCCCUGUCAUUUGCGAACAAACCUUAUUAGUGAAUAACUGGUAAGUUGAUUGUAGCGAAAGAGGAAGGGACGGCUAACUCUGUGCCAGCAGCCGCGGUAAUACAGAGGUCCCAAGCGUUGUUCGGAUUCACUGGGCGUAAAGGGUGCGUAGGUGGUGAGGUAAGUCGGAUGUGAAAUCUCCGGGCUCAACCCGGAAAUGGCAUUGGAAACUACCUUGCUUGAGGAUUUGAGGGGGGAUUGGAAUACUUGGUGUAGCAGUGAAAUGCGUAGAUAUCAAGUGGAACACCAGUGGCGAAGGCGAAUCCCUGGAAAAUACCUGACACUGAGGCACGAAAGCUAGGGGAGCAAACAGGAUUAGAUACCCUGGUAGUCCUAGCCCUAAACGGUGCUUGCUUGCUGUAAGAGGAAUCGACCCCUCUUGUGGCGGAGCUAACGCGUUAAGCAAGCCGCCUGGGAAGUACGGUCGCAAGAUUA
RNAcentral lists this ribosomal RNA (522 nucleotides) under uncultured Verrucomicrobiota bacterium. RNAcentral's name for it is "bacterial SSU rRNA". It matches the Rfam family "Bacterial small subunit ribosomal RNA", at positions 382 to 896 of the family's 1533-position model. The record is from RNAcentral. Lineage: Bacteria; Pseudomonadati; Verrucomicrobiota.